CAAGAGCGUAUAUUAAAGUUGUUGCAGUUAAAAAGCUCGUAGUUGAACUUCUGGUCAAGCGUGACCUUGGCUUCGGUCGAGGCAGGCAUGGCCAUCCGUCAGAAAACCAGGGAGGGUCUUAAGUGAUCGCUCUGGGGAUCUGACACUUUACUUUGAAAAAACUAGAGUGUUCAUGGCAGGCUAACGCCCUGAAUACACAAGCAUGGAAUAAUAGAAUAGGACUGGGUCCAUUUUGUUGGUUAUUGGACGCAGUGAUGAUAAUAGGGACAGUUGGGGGCAUUAGUAUUUAAUUGUCAGAGGUGAAAUUCUUGGAUUAUUAAAGAACUGACUUAUUGCGAAGCAAUUUUGCCAAGGAUGUUUUCAUUGAUCAAGAACGAAAGUUAGGGGAUCAAAGACGAUU
This 400-nucleotide ribosomal RNA is filed under the name uncultured eukaryote. RNAcentral's name for it is "SSU rRNA". It matches the Rfam family "Eukaryotic small subunit ribosomal RNA", at positions 592 to 1009 of the family's 1831-position model. The record is from RNAcentral.